CGAAAGCGUGGGGAGCAAACAGGAUUAGAUACCCUGGUAGUCCACGCUGUAAACGAUGUCGAUUUGGAGGUUGUGCCCUUGAGGCGUGGCUUCCGGAGCUAACGCGUUAAAUCGACCGCCUGGGGAGUACGGCCGCAAGGUUAAAACUCAAAUGAAUUGACGGGGGCCCGCACAAGCGGUGGAGCAUGUGGUUUAAUUCGAUGCAACGCGAAGAACCUUACCUACUCUUGACAUCCAGCGAACCCUGUAGAGAUACGGGGGUGCCUUC
Molecule: ribosomal RNA, 268 nt
Filed under: Dickeya dadantii
Lineage: Bacteria; Pseudomonadati; Pseudomonadota; Gammaproteobacteria; Enterobacterales; Pectobacteriaceae
Description: partial 16S ribosomal RNA
Rfam family: Bacterial small subunit ribosomal RNA
Source: RNAcentral